RNAcentral lists this non-coding RNA (30 nucleotides) under Rattus norvegicus (Norway rat). Lineage: Eukaryota; Metazoa; Chordata; Mammalia; Rodentia; Muridae. The record is from RNAcentral.
GGCAAUCUCAGAAAUUUCUUUACACUUAGC